RNAcentral lists this ribosomal RNA (253 nucleotides) under uncultured bacterium. Its description in RNAcentral is "partial 16S ribosomal RNA". It matches the Rfam family "Bacterial small subunit ribosomal RNA", at positions 524 to 776 of the family's 1533-position model. The record is from RNAcentral.
GACGAACCGAGCGAACGUUGUUCGGAAUAACUGGGCUUAAAGGGCGCGUAGGCGGGCUGUCAAGUUUGGGGUGAAAUGCCACGGUUCAACCGUGGAACUGCCUCAAAUACUGACGGUCUCGAGGGAGGUAGGGGCGAGCGGAACUAAUGGUGGAGCGGUGAAAUGCGUUGAUAUCAUUAGGAACUCCGGUGGCGAAGGCGGCUCGCUGGACCUUUUCUGACGCUGAGGCGCGAAAGCUAGGGGAGCAAACGGG